UUAAAUUGAAGAGUUUGAUCAUGGCUCAGAUUGAACGCUGGCGGCAGGCCUAACACAUGCAAGUCGAGCGGUAGCACAGAGAGCUUGCU
Molecule: ribosomal RNA, 89 nt
Filed under: Klebsiella aerogenes
Lineage: Bacteria; Pseudomonadati; Pseudomonadota; Gammaproteobacteria; Enterobacterales; Enterobacteriaceae
Also listed under: 10 other names
Description: partial 16S ribosomal RNA
Rfam family: Bacterial small subunit ribosomal RNA
Source: RNAcentral